AACGUAGGUGGCGAGCGUUAUCCGGAUUUACUGGGCGUAAAGCGUGUGCAGGCGGGGCUCCAAGUGGUGUUUGAAAUUUCCCAGCUUAACUGGGAGAGGUUAUGCCAGACUGGAGGUCUAGAGUGCGGAGAGGGGCGUGGAAUUCCGGGUGUAGUGGUGAAAUGCGUAGAGAUCCGGAGGAACCCCAGAGGCGAAGGCGGCGCCCUGGCUCGCAACUGACGCUCAGACACGACAGCAUGGGGAGCGAACGGG
RNAcentral lists this ribosomal RNA (252 nucleotides) under uncultured bacterium. Its description in RNAcentral is "partial 16S ribosomal RNA". It matches the Rfam family "Bacterial small subunit ribosomal RNA", at positions 524 to 776 of the family's 1533-position model. The record is from RNAcentral.